GCACUUCUGAGGAGUCCCACAAUAGGACGAAACGUGUGUUCAGUGC
This 46-nucleotide non-coding RNA is filed under the name Schistosoma mansoni. The record is from RNAcentral. Lineage: Eukaryota; Metazoa; Platyhelminthes; Trematoda; Strigeidida; Schistosomatidae.